GGUGGUAUAGCUCAGUGGUGGAGUGCGAGCUUAGCAUGCACAAGGUCCUGGGUUCAAUCCCUAGUGCCUCCA
This is a transfer RNA of Camelus ferus (Wild Bactrian camel), 72 nucleotides long. It matches the Rfam family "tRNA". From Rfam's summary of the family: Transfer RNA (tRNA) molecules are approximately 80 nucleotides in length. Their secondary structure includes four short double-helical elements and three loops (D, anti-codon, and T loops). NCBI's taxonomy places the organism in Eukaryota, Metazoa, Chordata, Mammalia, Artiodactyla, Camelidae. The record is from Rfam.